This 689-nucleotide ribosomal RNA is filed under the name Prevotella bivia. RNAcentral's name for it is "bacterial SSU rRNA". It matches the Rfam family "Bacterial small subunit ribosomal RNA", at positions 74 to 757 of the family's 1533-position model. The record is from RNAcentral. Lineage: Bacteria; Pseudomonadati; Bacteroidota; Bacteroidia; Bacteroidales; Prevotellaceae.
GAUAGCUUGCUAUUUAUGUCGGCGACCGGCGCACGGGUGAGUAACGCGUAUCCAACCUGCCCAUAACUAAGGGAUAACCCAGCGAAAGUUGGACUAAUACCUUAUGUAUUCGUUUGAUCUCAUGAGAUUACGAAUAAAGAUUUAUCGGUUAUGGAUGGGGAUGCGUCUGAUUAGCUUGUUGGCGGGGUAACGGCCCACCAAGGCAACGAUCAGUAGGGGUUCUGAGAGGAAGGUCCCCCACAUUGGAACUGAGACACGGUCCAAACUCCUACGGGAGGCAGCAGUGAGGAAUAUUGGUCAAUGGACGCAAGUCUGAACCAGCCAAGUAGCGUGCAGGAUGACGGCCCUAUGGGUUGUAAACUGCUUUUAUAUGGGGAUAAAGUGGGGAACGUGUUCCCUUUUGCAGGUACCAUAUGAAUAAGGACCGGCUAAUUCCGUGCCAGCAGCCGCGGUAAUACGGAAGGUUCGGGCGUUAUCCGGAUUUAUUGGGUUUAAAGGGAGCGUAGGCCGUUUGGUAAGCGUGUUGUGAAAUGUAGNAGCUCAACUUCUAGAUUGCAGCGCGAACUGUCAGACUUGAGUGCGCACAACGUAGGCGGAAUUCAUGGUGUAGCGGUGAAAUGCUUAGAUAUCAUGAAGAACUCCGAUUGCGAAGGCAGCUUACGGGAGCGCAACUGACGCUGAAGCUCGAA